RNAcentral lists this ribosomal RNA (253 nucleotides) under uncultured bacterium. Its description in RNAcentral is "partial 16S ribosomal RNA". It matches the Rfam family "Bacterial small subunit ribosomal RNA", at positions 524 to 776 of the family's 1533-position model. The record is from RNAcentral.
UACGUAGGGGGCUAGCGUUGUCCGGAAUCAUUGGGCGUAAAGCGCGUGUAGGCGGUUUGUCGCGUCUGCUGUGAAAAUCCGGGGCUCAACCCCGGACUUGCAGUGGGUACGGGCAGACUAGAGUGUGGUAGGGGAGACUGGAAUUCCUGGUGUAGCGGUGAAAUGCGCAGAUAUCAGGAGGAACACCGAUGGCGAAGGCAGGUCUCUGGGCCACUACUGACGCUGAGAAGCGAAAGCAUGGGGAGCGAACAGG